This 283-nucleotide ribosomal RNA is filed under the name uncultured bacterium. Its description in RNAcentral is "partial 16S ribosomal RNA". The record is from RNAcentral.
CUGCUGCCUUCCGUAGGAGUUUGGGCCGUGUCUCAGUCCCAAUGUGGCCGGCCACCCUCUCAGGUCGGCUACUGAUCGUCGCCUUGGUGGGCCUUUACCCCGCCAACUAGCUAAUCAGACGCGGGCCCAUCCCAUACCACCGGAGUUUUUCGCCCGGGGCCAUGCGGCCUCGCGCGCUUACGCGGUAUUAGCGGUCAUUUCUAACCGUUAUCCCCCGGUAUGGGGCAGGUUACCCACGCGUUACUCACCCGUCCGCCGCUAAGUCACUCCCGCUUCCUUACCG